RNAcentral lists this ribosomal RNA (354 nucleotides) under Triticum aestivum (bread wheat). Its description in RNAcentral is "partial small subunit ribosomal RNA". Lineage: Eukaryota; Viridiplantae; Streptophyta; Magnoliopsida; Poales; Poaceae. The record is from RNAcentral.
AUGCAUAGCCCCGGCAGGCCAGCACAAGCUAUCUACCGCCCGGGUGGUGGUGUCAUUGCAGUUGCAGGCGGUGGUGGCACCGUGGCACCUAUGCGGCGGGCGGUGCUGGUGGUGGCAUCUGUGCCGCCGGCGGUGGGGGUGACAUCUGUGCGGGUGGUGGUGGCGCCUGUGUCGUUGUGGUUGGUGGUGGUGGUGACGCCUGUGCCUCCGGUGGUGGUGGUGACAUCUGUGCGGCCGGUGGAGGAGCCAGUGUUGGUGGAGGCGAUGGGAGUGGUGUCAGUGUGGGCGGCCGUGGCGCCUGCGCCGGCGGUGGUAGUGGUGGUUGUGCGGGCUUCAGCGACAACGGCCCAAUGA